RNAcentral lists this ribosomal RNA (301 nucleotides) under uncultured bacterium. Its description in RNAcentral is "partial 16S ribosomal RNA". It matches the Rfam family "Bacterial small subunit ribosomal RNA", at positions 509 to 807 of the family's 1533-position model. The record is from RNAcentral.
CAGCCGCCGCGGUAAUACGUAGGUGGCAAGCGUUGUCCGGAAUUAUUGGGCGUAAAGGGCUCGCAGGCGGUUUCUUAAGUCUGAUGUGGAAGCCCCCGGCUCAACCGGGGAGGGUCAUUGGAAACUGGGAAACUUGAGUGCAGAAGAGGAGAGUGGAAUUCCACGUGUAGCGGUGAAAUGCGUAGAGAUGUGGAGGAACACCAGUGGCGAAGGCGACUCUCUGGUCUGUAACUGUCGCUGAGGAGCGAAAGCGUGGGGAGCGAACAGGAUUAGAUACCCCUGUAGUCCCUGUCUCUUAUAC